Molecule: long non-coding RNA, 1372 nt
Organism: Hemicordylus capensis (graceful crag lizard)
Lineage: Eukaryota; Metazoa; Chordata; Lepidosauria; Squamata; Cordylidae
Exons: 4
Source: RefSeq, a predicted model, not a curated record
ACACCCUCUGUUGGUCUCUCCCCCUCUUGGGACCAUCACUGCUGCUGCUGCUGUCCUCCUCCCACACCCGAAUCCCCCUCCCUGCUGCUACAUUACAGCUCCUCCUCUCUUCUUCCUCUCUCUCUCUCUUUCUCUCUCCUCAUCCCUUCACUUCUUCUUCCUCCCACAGCUGCAGCCACACAGUAUCCUACCUCCGACCUCACCUGGAGGUCCCCGCCAUCGGUUUUUUUUUUCUUUUGAAAGUUGUUUUAUUUCAUUUGUCUCUGCUUGGGGGUGAGUUGAGCAACAACACAUAAAUAGUGUUGUCUCCUCACUUCUGCCCCUCCAUCGUUGAACUACCCCGGUUGCCUGUGCCUCGUGCGGCCACCCUGUUGUGUCCCAGCCCAGGGGGUUGGUUGGCGGCGGCGCAUCCGUGACCAGCAGUGAGCGGCAGGAGAAGGACCGGAAGAAGAGGGGUUCCAAAGCAUUGACUGCGUCCCUCCCCCACCCCCGGUAAUGAUCAUUUUGGUCAAAUAUUUUGAAGCACCGAAGAGGCUGUAGAAGACAAGGCCAUGGGUCUUUGGACUAACUUAAGUACAGCUAUGAAGUUAUGAAGGCUCGGAAAGCCAACAGCUGGGCAGAAACUCAAGAGGAAAUACUGGCUGAUGCCAUCGAUGAGAAAUGGAAGGUUACUCAAGACAGUGCAGUACUAAUUUGUAGAUACUGAAACCAUGAGGGCUCAUUGGACCACUCUGAAGCAAGAGUCUGGAUGAUCCAGUCCGAAAUCCAUGACAAGCAACUGGCGUGAUGAUAUAAUUUCAAAUUGGGAACAGCCAAUCCUCCUCAAUCUUUUGCAUCUUGCAUGACCCUGAACUUAAUUCUUGGUUUUUUAUUGGCCCAGAUAAAAGAAUUUCUAUUCCUCUGCCACAUGUUCAAUGUUUUAUCCUCAAUUUUAAUAAGGAUAAUUUGAAAUAGAAUGUUCAUCUUUGGUAAAAUAUUCAUUUUAACCGAUGCUAUCCUUCCCAGCCAAGAAAGAUUUAUUUUUUUCCACCUGGUUAGAUCUGCCAUAAUAAGGCUCCACAAAGGUGAAUAAUUACUCUUGAACAGGUCUUUAUUAUUUACUGUUAAAUUAAUCCCUAAAUAUUUAAUUGGUUUUUCUGUCAGUUGAAAUCCAGUCUUGUCUUUCAAAUAUAAAAGUUCUGGGUCUGACAGAUUCCAUGUAAGGCUCUGCAUUUUGUUUUUAUUAAUCUUAUAUCCUGAAACCAUGCCUUAAUGAUUUAUAUGCUCCAUUAUUGUUCUUGAUCUCUGAAUCACUUUAAAGGUCUUACCUUAUUCUAUGUUUCAAGAGAUGUAAUCAUGCAUUGUUCUUUUACUAUCUUAAAUAAAUAAAUAA